GGCACAUAUACUUAUUACUAGUUCUCCAUUUACCCGAACACAGAACAACAUACAUGAGUACUUUAAAAUACUACUACCCCCCGAACACAGUAUGGUUAGGGCACGUAGAUCAGGCUAUUUUUUCAUAUAUACGAGGCUUUAAAUUUUCUUACUUACAUUACUAAAUAAAAAUAUGAAACAGUAACCUUAAUAUCAAAGUUUAUCUUAAAAAAUUUCUUCCGUAUCACCACUUACUCU
Molecule: long non-coding RNA, 237 nt
Filed under: Carica papaya (papaya)
Lineage: Eukaryota; Viridiplantae; Streptophyta; Magnoliopsida; Brassicales; Caricaceae
Description: long non-coding RNA (CPAP_LNC001913)
Source: RNAcentral